AUUGAACGCUGGCGGCAGGCCUAACACAUGCAAGUCGAGCGGAUGAAGGGAGCUUGCUCCUGGAUUCAGCGGCGGACGGGUGAGUAAUGCCUAGGAAUCUGCCUGGUAGUGGGGGAUAACGUCCGGAAACGGGCGCCAAUACCGCAUACGUCCUGAGGGAGAAAGUGGGGGAUCUUCGGACCUCACGCUAUCAGAUGAGCCUAGGUCGGAUUAGCUAGUUGGUGGGGUAAAGGCCUACCAAGGCGACGAUCCGUAACUGGUCUGAGAGGAUGAUCAGUCACACUGGGACUGAGACACGGUCCAGACUCCUACGGGAGGCAGCGGUGGGGAAUAUUGGACAAUGGGCGAAAGCCUGAUCCAGCCAUGCCGCGUGUGUGAAGCAGGUCUUCGGAUUGUAAAGCACUUUAAGUUGGGGGGAAGGGCAGUAAGUUAAUACCUUGCUGUUUUGACGGUACCAACAGAAGAAGCACCGGCUAACUUCGUG
This 484-nucleotide ribosomal RNA is filed under the name uncultured bacterium. Its description in RNAcentral is "partial 16S ribosomal RNA". It matches the Rfam family "Bacterial small subunit ribosomal RNA", at positions 30 to 507 of the family's 1533-position model. The record is from RNAcentral.